RNAcentral lists this ribosomal RNA (915 nucleotides) under uncultured bacterium. RNAcentral describes it as "bacterial SSU rRNA". It matches the Rfam family "Bacterial small subunit ribosomal RNA", at positions 12 to 917 of the family's 1533-position model. The record is from RNAcentral.
UUUGAUCAUGGCUCAGAACGAACGCUGGCGGCGUGGCUAAGACAUGCAAGUCGAACGGACUAUGUUAUUUAUAACGUAGUAGUGGCGUAAGGGUGAGGAAUGAAUAGGUAACGUACCCCGAAGUCCGGGAUAGCGUCUGAAUGCUUCGGCAUUCUUCCGAAAGGGGCAAUAAUACCGGAUGAUAUCAUCGCAUUUGAGUGCGGUGAUCAAAGAUUUAUCGCUUUGGGAGCGGCCUAUUUCCUAUCAGCUUGUUGGUGAGGUAACGGCUCACCAAGGCUUCGACGGGUAGCGGGACUGAGAGGUUGGCCCGCCACAUUGGGACUGAGACACUGCCCAGACCCCCACGGGGGGCUGCAGUAACGAAUAUUGUGCAAUGAACGAAAGUUUGACACAGCGACGCCGCGUGUAGGAAGAAGCCUUUCGGGGUGUAAACUACUGUCAGGGGUUAGAAAGUUUACUUCGGUAAAUUGAUCAGCCCCAGAGGAAGUCACGGCUAACUUCGUGCCAGCAGCCGCGGUAAUACGAAGGUGGCAAGCGUUGUUCGGAAUCACUGGGCUUAAAGCGCGCGUAGGCGGAAGUUCAAGUGUCCUGUGAAAUCCCCCGGCUCAACCGGGGAACUGCGGGGCAAACUGGAUUUCUUGAGGCAAGUAGGGGUACAUGGAACUCUUAGUGGAGCGGUGGAAUGCGUAGAUAUUAAGAGGAACGCCGAUGGUGAAGACAGUGUACUGGGCUUGUCCUGACGCUGAGGUGCGAAAGCGUGGGGAGCGAACGGGAUUAGAUACCCCGGUAGUCCACGCCGUAAACGAUGUCUCCUAGGUUGUGGAGGUUCUGACACCCUCACAGUCGAAGCAAAAGUGUUAAGUAGACCGCCUGGGGAGUACGGUCGCAAGGCUAAAACUCAAAGGAAUUGACGGG